RNAcentral lists this transfer RNA (70 nucleotides) under Muntiacus sp. BOR3. RNAcentral describes it as "tRNA-Leu". The record is from RNAcentral. Lineage: Eukaryota; Metazoa; Chordata; Mammalia; Artiodactyla; Cervidae.
ACUUUUAGAGGAUGGUAGAUAUCCAUUGGUCUUAGGAAUCAAAGAAUUGGUGCAACUCCAAAUAAAAGUA